CGGUGAUGGUGAUGCCUCUUGCUGUUUCUGGUAAUCGAAACUUAACUAUUACUACCAUAACUGCUAGUACUAGUACCACUGCCAACAUUGGCGCUGAGGACGAAAAUACUGUUGAAUGCGACUCCCGACCAGGUGACAAUUGGAGCAGAUGUAAUCAUAUAAACCAUGCAGACACGUGAGACAGGUAAUAGAGGACUUAGCAGCGAUAUCGAUUAUAUGCAGUCGAGACGCCGUUUGUCUUGGCUUUAAACUAGCAAAGAAAUGAAAACUUUAUCGGAUAACAGGUGCCUCUUCCUAUUCCUCAAAAUAAUGCGUUGAAAGAUAUCGAGCGAAAUCCUAUGUGGGAAUCACUGUUGAAGUAGAAUCGACGAGCUCAACUACAUAGUAUAAUAAUGUUAGGGCCUUUCUUCAUACUAGUUAGUCGGGAUAAGAGUUUCGUACUGUUGUGUAGACUUACGUAAUUGUCGAUUUUGAAGACUCUGAGAACGACGCACGCACUACAGUUCACGCGGCUGGUUCAACCGCAAAAGGGUUAUUUUUCCUCCUAUGGGGGUGAAGGUGAAGACAGAAUUGAUGGUAUACGUCUCGGAAAACAGGGAAAUGUCGCCGUCACAAAGGCUCAAGUGAAAGUCAGGGAUCGUGAGAACAUCCCAGUGUACGCACCGUUUUCUCCGGAACGGAAUGACGACUCAGUAUGCGCACAUCCACGCGUUCGUAGAUGAUAUAGCCGUAGAAUGAGACGUAUGCAAUGUCCAUACGCAGUGAAAGUUAUUUAUGACCCGACAUUGAUCUAUAGGCAUAACUGUUAUGAGCCAGAGAACGAAAAGCUUCACCAACCCAUUGCGCCGUGCUUGGGAGCGCCAAGUGCAGGAUGUUACAAAGAUCUAGCUGGAAAUAAAUAUCCGCGCGAGUCGUCCUUCGCUCGGAUCGAAAAGUGUGGCCACACCCAGUGAAUUUUUUAAGAUUACGUGUGAAAAACAAGUAACUAGUCAACUAAAAAAAAACGCCCCCAAAGUAUCAGCAGAAUUAUGUGUCUGUACAAACCUGUCGAACAAGGAAGGCAAAAACACAAGAAAGAUACGCGCUGCAGUUCUACUUUUUAAUCGGAUAUUGCCUUGAUGAUAAACUUCGUGCUCCAAUGUUUUCUUUUUUCGACAGAGUGAACACAGCAAAUGAAUCGAAUUUAGGAUGCUCAUUUAUAUUCGAAUUCAGCGAUCGACACACUCUUUCAUGCUGGCAGCCAGACCUCUAAUGGAAUGUCUAACAGCAGCGUCGGACGUAUAGCUCGAAAUAUAGAGAUCUGGAAGGUUGUAGCAUGUAGGCAUUAUGAAGGCCAACCUUUAUUUUACCGAGACCAACUUACUUUAGUUUAGAUUGGUGAAUUUGGCUAAUCAGUCUUUAAAUUUGUUUAUCAUAAAACACUAAGCAUGAUUGAUAUCUUGUGCACGGACCCUUUUAUAAUGCGCAGUGCCCGUACCGUAAGGUAAAAUAUAUUCAUAUAUAAGUCUUUAUCAUAUAACGUACAGCGACAGCUAUUUCCUAAAGAGUAUUAGGCGGGUGACGAAUAUGAUAGUAGCUGUGCACGAAAACGCGUAUCGGCAUGUAAGUUUGUCCGUCUGCUGCCUUCGCAGCAGCCCGUCGUGAAAAACGCUGAAUGUAGUUUCUUUUUAUUU
RNAcentral lists this long non-coding RNA (1673 nucleotides) under Varroa destructor (honeybee mite). RNAcentral's name for it is "uncharacterized LOC111243036". Lineage: Eukaryota; Metazoa; Arthropoda; Arachnida; Mesostigmata; Varroidae. The record is from RNAcentral.